UACGUAGGGUGCGAGCGUUAAUCGGAAUUACUGGGCGUAAAGCGUGCGCAGGCGGUUGUGCAAGACAGAUGUGAAAUCCCCGGGCUUAACCUGGGAACUGCAUUUGUGACUGCACAGCUGGAGUGCGGCAGAGGGGGAUGAAAUUCCGCGUGUAGCAGUGAAAUGCGUAGAUAUGCGGAGGAACACCGAUGGCGAAGGCAAUCCCCUGGGCCUGCACUGACGCUCAUGCACGAAAGCGUGGGGAGCAAACAGG
This 253-nucleotide ribosomal RNA is filed under the name uncultured bacterium. Its description in RNAcentral is "partial 16S ribosomal RNA". It matches the Rfam family "Bacterial small subunit ribosomal RNA", at positions 524 to 776 of the family's 1533-position model. The record is from RNAcentral.